CCCUACUGCUAUCGGGGUGGGACUAAGACAUGCGAGUUGUGCGUCUCUUAGCUAUGGUAGAGACGCAGCGUACGGCUCAGUAACACGUGGCUAACCUACCCUUAGGACGGGGACAACCCCGGGAAACUGGGGCUAAUACCCGAUAGGUGAGGAGGCCUGGAAUGGUUCCUAGUCGAAAAGGCGUUGAAACCAUGCUUUUCGACGUCGCCUAAGGAUGGGGCCGCGUCCGAUCAGGUUGUUGGUGGGGUAACGGCUCACCAAGCCUUUAACCGGUACGGGCCGUGAGAGCGGGAGCCCGGAGAUGGGCACUGAGACAAGGGCCCAGGCCCUACGGGGCGCAGCAGUCGCGAAAACUCCGCAAUGCGCGAAAGCGUGACGGGGCUACCCCGAGUGCCGUCCGCUGAGGAUGGCUUUUCCCCGGUGUAAUGAGCCGGGGGAAUAAGGAGAGGGCAAGUCUGGUGUCAGCCGCCGCGGUAAUACCAGCUCUCCGAGUGGUAGGGACGAUUAUUGGGCUUAAAGCGUCCGUAGCCGGCUUAGCAAGUCUCCUGUUAAAUUCAGCGACCUAAUCGUUGAGCCGCGGGAGAUACUACUAGGCUAGGAGGCGGAAGAGGCCGACGGUAUUCUCGGGGUAGGGGUGAAAUCCUAUAAUCCCGGGAGGACCACCAGUGGCGAAGGCUGUCGGCUAGAACGCGCUCGACGGUGAGGGACGAAAGCUGGGGGAGCGAACCGGAUUAGAUACCCGGGUAGUCCCAGCCGUAAACGAUGCGGGCUAGGUGUUGGGGUGGCUACGAGCUGCUCCAGUGCCGCAGAGAAGUUAUUAAGCCUGCCGCCUGGGGAGUACGGCCGCAAGGCUGAAACUUAAAGGAAUUGGCGGGGGAGCACCACAAGGGGUGAAGGCUGCGGUUU
This 906-nucleotide ribosomal RNA is filed under the name uncultured archaeon. RNAcentral's name for it is "bacterial SSU rRNA". It matches the Rfam family "Archaeal small subunit ribosomal RNA", at positions 21 to 903 of the family's 1478-position model. The record is from RNAcentral.